UGAUAAGAAGAGGACUUAAACCUCUG
This 26-nucleotide transfer RNA is filed under the name Boana albopunctata (spotted treefrog). RNAcentral describes it as "partial tRNA-Tyr". The record is from RNAcentral. Lineage: Eukaryota; Metazoa; Chordata; Amphibia; Anura; Hylidae.